AUCCGGGUCGUGACAAUCAGCUUGUUCUUCUACCUGUCCACCUUUCUCUCUCAAACGCUUCUAUUGUUGCUAAACCUCCGAAAAAUUGUUGCAGCCUCUUUUCUCCAGAAUAUUCUCUUUGGUGAUGACCAACUACACCCGUUCUGAUUUCCUAAAUUGUCGUUUGUACUGAUGAAAAGACAAAGAACUUUCCCUUUCAUCGAUGUUACUAAUUGUCUUUGCAAAUCUCUAUGGCUUAUUUCUUCCAGAUUAGCCUGCGCCUCCGGAUUUCACCUCCGUCUUCUCUGCUUUGUCAAGGACUUCAUCAUAUCCUCUCACUUCAGGGAUUGCAAGAUAGGAAGUCACACCUGUUGACUCCGGGAAUAUGUUAUAGGAGGAGUUCUAGUGGUGGUUGCUCUUCGAAAUGUAGAGAUAUUAUUGCAUAGAGUUAAAGCUGUAGUAGAUUUAUUUUAUUCAAUACCAAAUGGUGCACACACAGAAGACAUGAACGUUUAACUCACACAAAACAAGACCUAUGCAUCGCACUUUAGGUGUCUUAGACCUACGUUUCUAUUGGAUGCUAACGCGAGUGACGCACCUGUUUUCGGUUAUUUUUUGUGCAUUGGUCUUGAGAAAGCUAUUAGGGUAUAUAACAGUGCUAGAAUUUCUUUGAGUAAGAUACUCAGUUUUAGGUGUGCAUAUGUUCUGUAUGUUAGAAACAUAUUUGAAUCUUUUUUAAUU
Nicotiana tabacum (common tobacco) is the source of this 720-nucleotide long non-coding RNA. RefSeq lists it as uncharacterized. NCBI's taxonomy places the organism in Eukaryota, Viridiplantae, Streptophyta, Magnoliopsida, Solanales, Solanaceae. The record is from RefSeq and is a predicted model, not a curated record.